Molecule: ribosomal RNA, 479 nt
Filed under: uncultured bacterium
Lineage: Bacteria
Description: bacterial SSU rRNA
Rfam family: Bacterial small subunit ribosomal RNA
Source: RNAcentral
AAUCAACGCUGGCGGCGUGCCUAACACAUGCAAGUCGAACGCGAAAGCCCGCAAGGGUAAGUAGAGUGGCGCACGGGUGAGUAACACGUGGACAACCUGCCUUCGAGUGGGGAAUAACCUUCCGAAAGGAGGGCUAAUACCGCAUAACACCUCGGGACACAAGUUCUGGGGUUGAAAAGAGCAAUUUGCUCGAAGAGGGGUCCGCGCCUGAUUAGCUAGUUGGUGAGGUAACGGCUCACCAAGGCUUCGAUCAGUAGCCGUCCUGAGAGGGAGCACGGCCACACUGGAACUGAGACACGGUCCAGACUCCUACGGGAGGCAGCAGUGGGGAAUUUUGGCAAUGGGCGAAAGCCUGACCAAGCAACGCCGCGUGGGUGAUGAAGUAUCUUGGUACGUAAAACCCUUUCGGCAGGGACGAACCUAAUGACGGUACCUGCGGAAGAAGCCCCGGCUAACUCCGUGCCAGCCGCCGCGGUAAC